UUGGCGGGGCAACGGCCCACCAAGCCCACGAUAUCUAGGGGUUCUGAGAGGAAGGUCCCCCACAUUGGUACUGAGACACGGACCAAACUCCUACGGGAGGCAGCAGUGAGGAAUAUUGGUCAAUGGACGAGAGUCUGAACCAGCCAAGUCGCGUGAAGGAAGACGGAUCUAUGGUUUGUAAACUUCUUUAGUGCGGGAACAAAGCGGCGUCGUGACGCCGGAUGAGUGUACCGCAAGAAUAAGCAUCGGCUAACUCCGUGCCAGCAGCCGCGGUAAUACGGAGGAUGCGAGCGUUAUCCGGAUUUAUUGGGUUUAAAGGGAGCGCAGGCUGCGGGGCAAGUCAGCGGUCAAAUGUCGGGGCUCAACCCCGGCCUGCCGUUGAAACUGUCCUGCUAGAGUUCGAGUGAGGUAUGCGGAAUGCGUUGUGUAGCGGUGAAAUGCAUAGAUAUGACGCAGAACUCCGAUUGCGAAGGCAGCAUACCAACUCGCGACUGACGCUGAGGCUCGAAAGCGUGGGUAUCGAACAGGAUUAGAUACCCUGGUAGUCCACGCAGUAAACGAUGAAUACUAACUGUUCGGAGGGCGACCUCUGAGUGGUAAAGCGAAAGCGUUAAGUAUUCCACCUGGGGAGUACGCCGGCAACGGUGAAA
Molecule: ribosomal RNA, 650 nt
Filed under: uncultured Bacteroidales bacterium
Lineage: Bacteria; Pseudomonadati; Bacteroidota; Bacteroidia; Bacteroidales
Description: bacterial SSU rRNA
Rfam family: Bacterial small subunit ribosomal RNA
Source: RNAcentral